RNAcentral lists this ribosomal RNA (490 nucleotides) under uncultured bacterium. RNAcentral describes it as "partial 16S ribosomal RNA". It matches the Rfam family "Bacterial small subunit ribosomal RNA", at positions 30 to 507 of the family's 1533-position model. The record is from RNAcentral.
AUUGAACGCUGGCGGCAGGCCUAACACAUGCAAGUCGAACGGUAACAGAAAGCAGCUUGCUGCUUUGCUGACGAGUGGCGGACGGGUGAGUAAUGUCUGGGAAACUGCCUGAUGGAGGGGGAUAACUACUGGAAACGGUAGCUAAUACCGCAUAACGUCGCAAGACCAAAGAGGGGGACCGUCGGGCCUCUUGCCAUCGGAUGUGCCCAGAUGGGAUUAGCUAGUAGGUGGGGUAAAGGCUCACCUAGGCGACGAUCCCUAGCUGGUCUGAGAGGAUGACCAGCCACACUGGAACUGAGACACGGUCCAGACUCCUACGGGAGGCAGCAGUGGGGAAUAUUGCACAAUGGGCGCAAGCCUGAUGCAGCCAUGCCGCGUGUAUGAAGAAGGCCUUCGGGUUGUAAAGUACUUUCAGCGGGGAGGAAGGGAGUAAAGUUAAUACCUUUGCUCAUUGACGUUACCCGCAGAAGAAGCACCGGCUAACUCCGUG